This 491-nucleotide long non-coding RNA is filed under the name Notechis scutatus (mainland tiger snake). Its description in RNAcentral is "lncRNA (ENSNSUG00000018141.1)". Lineage: Eukaryota; Metazoa; Chordata; Lepidosauria; Squamata; Elapidae. The record is from RNAcentral.
GCCAUUUCAGAGCACAUGGACUAGAGAAGAGAAACAGAGACUUUCAAAACCACCUUUGGUCAAAGUAAAACCAGGACUUGAUUUGAAGCAGCAUGAACUCAGUGCCAUACAAGAACUUGACACACCAAGGAGCGACAGAUUUUCCACUACAGAAAUUUCAGGAUACAAAGAGCAUCUCACUGGAGAUAUAUUCCUCACUCCCCAAAUUGAUAAACUACGGUCUAGUAAAAGCCCAGCUGAGUCUUUACAGGAAGAAAUAGAUCUGCUAAGAACCAUUUCUAUGGCUGAUGAUAAAGAAUUCGAUUUUGGCCAAAGCUUGGAACGUAUACAAGGAUCAAGCCACGAUGAAUCGAUGUGGAAAGCUAAUGGUUUGUAUUACUCAGAAUUUACUUCUGUAGAUCGACAUUUAUCAAAUUAUCCUGCUGAGAAUGGAAGAAAAGUUACAUCUCCGGAUCCAUCACUGAGGCCAAACAGCCAAGUAAGUAAUAAAA